Molecule: long non-coding RNA, 11800 nt
Organism: Gallus gallus (chicken)
Lineage: Eukaryota; Metazoa; Chordata; Aves; Galliformes; Phasianidae
Exons: 2
Source: RefSeq, a predicted model, not a curated record
AGUAACUACUACUACAGCAACUCAAAGCACCUUCAGGGUGCAGAUGGCUAUGUUCAGAAAAUGUAUUAACAUCAUCUAGCCAGAGGAGGAGAAAGAACCCAUCCCUACAGUGAAGAGACAAGUCAUGUGAGGAUGAGACAAGUCAUAUGAAUAUGAGAACAUCACUUUCUGUGAUGGUGUCAGAGACAUUUGGUGAAAUGAGCAGAGGGUGUUUCAACUCACAGAGAGAACUCACAGAGUUCAAAGUCCAAAAAACUUUCUUGGUUUGGAAAGAUAGUGCACAAUAAAGUAUUGUGUAAAUUAGCAGUGCAUCAUUUUAUUGGACACUAAUUUCCUUCCCAGCUCUGUCCAACAGAGUUUACCAGUUGCUACCUGAUCCCUCAAGGUGAACAGGUGCAUCACAAAUGAUACAACUCCACAAUGUAAUCAAAGUUCAGGUGGGAAAUCCUUUACAGCAAGAGGCAUUUCCCAAUGCACUGCUAUGACAACAGAUGAUUUUUAGAUGAACUGACUGAAUUUUUACUAUUCAAAGCUAAACUGAACACUUGAACUUGCAGCAAUGAGUUUAUAAAUUGAACCCAUUCUGAAGUAUCCCAGGACCUGAUGAUACUCUUUGAAGGACACAGAAAGGGAAUCUAAUAAGCUUCUACCAAAACAACCUUGUUGUCAAGUCAAAGGUAGAAAUGACAGCUUCCCAAAUGUACCAGCAUAACUAUGCUAAGAAUCAUGUAUUUGAUUCUACUCUAGAGGACAGAAAGAAGUUCUUGUUUUUCUGCCCUUACUCCUGGGUUUCCAAAGUUAUAUUUCUCCUUAGAACUCCUUGGGAAUCCCUGAAAUGAGAGUAAAUUUUCUGAGACAAGAAUGCUGUGAUUUUCUAUUUUAUACCAUGCUUUAGUACCUCAUUGUUCCUCUCAGUAGAGAACACUGUGUGGAAAUACUUGUGUCCUCUUCAGAGGAAUCAUUUGUCUGCUUGACAACUAUUCCCAACAGUUAUUUUUAUCAACUUGGAUAAUAUUUCUGAAUUUUAUCUUUGCUAUGUGGAAGCAAAUUAUAAAUGUAUGCUUUGAGAUGAAAGAUUCCUAUUGACUUCACCAGAUUUUCAUUAUAUAUUAUAUAAUUUCUCUUCUAUAAAUGACUAGUUCCCUUCCCCUUUGGUCUCAAGGGACCAUUGCUGAAUCCCUUCACCUUUUAGAACUCUAAUAUCUUUCAGUCUGGAGAAAACAUUAAUACAGGAGUUAUGGAACUUUUUUUCUUAAACUUGAAUGGAAACAACUAAAAAAAUUUGUAUUAAAUACCAUUAAUUUGCAGUCACCACAGUUAUAAUUAAUGUUAGAUUAUCAGUCUUCUGGUCAUUGCUAUUUUUCAUUUAUUUCUUUGCCUAUAGCUUUUCUGCCAGCGUGUGGCUUUCCAUUUUCAAAUCCAGUUUUGCUAAUAAUAUCACACACCACAUAUUUUGAUUCAUCCGUUGAAGAAUGAUGAAAUAGACUUAUCACUCAUAAGCAACUACAUCAAAGUAUCCAUAAUUCUUUACUAUCUGGCUCUGGAAGAAUAUGACAUUCUGAAUGUCAUUUUUACUCCUCACAUGAUAUUUAGCUACAUUUCCUUCUAAAUCUAAUUUGAAUUCUCUGUCAUGUAAAAUCUAACAGGAAGGUAGGGAGGCUGUAGCAGAAUCAAGAAUUAAAUUAUUUCCUCCAAGCACACUGGUUAAGAACUAUUAUUAUUAUUAUUAUUAUUAUUAUUAUUAUUAUUAUUUCACAGCAUUUUGCUUUGCUACAAUAGCAGUUUUUUGGAAUAAAACUAAGCAAAAUAAGUAAAUAAAUAAAAAUAUGCAACUGACUGGAGGUCCUAUAUAGAACAUAUUUUUAUUUUUUCCCCAUUCCUAACCCUUUCAGUUUUUACUUACCCUUCUUUUUAUUUUUUUAUCCAUCGACUCAUACCAUAAGCUCAGUCGGUUCACGUAGGUAAGCAGAGCUGCCGGCAUAAAGGACACUAUUCCCAAUCACAGUCUCUGGGCAUUCCUGCAGUAUAAAUCAUGACAUUACAGGAGUCUUCUCUCCCUUUACUUGCUGCCAUCUCCAGACAAUGGCUUAUAAUGAGUCCUGCAAACUGCAGAACAACCAAGGAAAACUAUCAAAGCGCUAAGAUGUUUUGACUGUAAUCUCUUUGAGAGCUUGGUUUUAUCAGCAGUAUGAUCAGAGUGCUCAGCAUCUCACAUGCUGGCUACUAUCCCAAGUAACCUAAUCCCUCAUUUCAACCCUUUUUAACCGGAUUUUAAUUAGACCAUGCUAAUUUGUGUGUAUGCAUGCUCAUAUACACAAAUUACCAUCAUACACGCUCAUGCACACACACAUACAAAGUUGUUUAUUAAAAAACUCAUUUUUUUUUUUCACUAACUAAGCAAGCAGCUUCCACAUGGCUUUAACUUUAAUUUCAUGCUGGUAACACUGCACUACAUAUGCUCAUUGCUUUAUGUAUCCUGAAGCCACGCCACAUGGAUCAAACAUACUGCCAGCCUUCAGCUCAGUAGAAAAGCUGCACAAAAUAAAGAUGAUAAAAACAGCCUAAAGAAACUGUUUUUCUAUCAAGGAAAGACAAUGCAAAUGUAGGCAAUAAUAUUAAUGAAUGCUACUUGCAUAUUUUUUCAGUUGUGUAAGUAUUUCAAUAACUGUAUGUAUAUAUAAUAAAAUAUCUUCCAAGAUAGGAUGGGACUGAGUAGAAUUAUAUGUCAGAGGUACAUAUAAAGUCACAUUCUGAAAAGGUUCUUUUUCGGAGUGGGAUUUUCAUAAGUUGUCAGGUUUUGUUCUUAAUACAAAUAUGCUACAAUGCCAAGGUCUUGUGAAGGAGUCUGGUCAAAAUCAGAAGUUCCAGUCUGGAAAGUUAUUCCCCCAUAGAAAAUUAUUUUAAAAUAUGUGUUUUAAAAAAGCAGCACUUUUUUUCUUGAAGGACAACUUGUGAUAUUUUCUUUAGAUGUCGCAGUAAAGAUUUUUAUUUCCUUUACUCACUCCAUCCAGGCAGGAUAUGUGUGGAACCCCUGAGAUGAGGAGCUACUUUCUGUGGGAGCUGCAGCAUGGCUCAGGUGUGUCGACAAGUGCUUUAAAGGAAGAGCAAGGUCAUGGUUCAUCACACAGAAGCCUACAUGGAUGAUUACUUUUGAAUUUCUUCAAUCAUGGCCAUGAAAAUAUUUCAAAAAAUUUGGUAGAGGGUGUAAGAAAGGGAGUAAUGGCUUUCUUUUUCUUAAUGCAGAUACAGCAAGCUGCUGAUUUAGCUCUUUGAAGACUGGGAUUUGAGUAGAAUGGAAUAGCUGGAAAGGGACCUUCAAAGAUUGUCCAGUCCCACUGCCUGACCACUUCAGCUGGUGCAGCAUAGCCACAGUAACAAGAAAGUCAAUGGUUCUGUUUAAAAAUGAUUUUUAUUUUUGAGGAGGCUAUAGGUCAUCCAGGCAUCUGGAUAUGCAACCCCAGCUUUGGAAGAGCUACUGCUAGAUGAGGAUGAUACUUUCGGAAGUUUCUGGAUGUUUAGCCUUCUUGAAAAUCUGCCACUCUAUACAGUUUUCCUGAGAUUUCUGGAGGAACUCAACAUGUUCCAUGUGCAGUUGAUCUGCCCUGGAACAGCAGGGGUAAAUCUUCACUGGAUGCAAAACAAUGAAGAUGUAUGGAAGAAGAAUGGAAUAAUACAUCAGCUGAAUGCAUGAUCUCCAUGAUUAUAUGACAAAGGAAAAAAAAAUAAGGUAGGAUUGUUGAAGAAAUUUAAAAUGGCAAUCCAUUUCCUACCUUUCCAGACAGCUGCAAACCAAACACUUUUCCUGAGAUUGAAGACGAAACAAGAGGAACAGAUGUUGUUCCACAAUUGGCAAAUUAAUUGAAAAAUUAACACAGGGCCUUGUUCUUAAAGAAACAGGAUCUUGUCAAAAUUCCAACAUAGAAUCAUAGAAUCACAGAAUAUCCUGAGUUAGAGGGGACCCACACAGAUCAUAAAAUCUAGCUCCUGGCUUCACGUAGGACCUCACAAAAAUCAGACCUUAUGUCUGACUGCAUUGUCCAGAAGCUUCUUGAACUGCAGCAAGCUCAGAGGGGUUUUAAAUACGCCUUUGCUUAUUAAGAAGUAUUAACAUAUAUCAAAUUUAUUGCUUGUCUAUUCAAAUAUUUAUUUAUUUCUUUACAUAUCUCAAAUGGUACUUUGCUUCCACUACUGUUUUUCUUUCUCAGUCUCUCAAACCAUUUCCCUGAGAUCAGUCUACAGCGCUUUUUCAGUCACCUCUCAUUCAGUAAGACUUUGUGAAACACUGACUUGUUGGUCUCAGGAGAGACAUUUUCCCCACUGUUGCCAGUGCUGCUGGUGUUUUAUGGUAACAAGGACCAAGGGGAAAACACUUGUCGGUGGGACAUCUUGAUAAACAGCCGUUUUGCUACUACAAUUACCAUAUUUCUUGAUUACCAGGAAAUAGGCACUUGAUAAACAUGUGGUUUCAUUGUUUACCCAUUUUGGCUUUCAAUUAGAACCAGAAACCUAUAAUGCACAUUAGAAUACUGCUUAGUUGGGUUUGAAACUAGGCAGCUAAUUAAUGACUAGACAUUUGCACAUAUUUAUUUAAGACAAUCUCCAGAGUCUUCAGUGACUGGUUUUUACAAAGAUAAUAGGCUUGUUAGAAAGCUAGAGUAAUAGCAUCUCCUUUUGGAGUUUUUUUCUUGCUCUUUAAAUCAUUUGUUAUUAUUUUUAAUUUAAAUACUUUUGUCUGGGCAUCAGGUAUUCAGUACAAGCAUAGCCUUUCCCCACACAUGGUAGACUGGAUGUUGUAGUUUCCAAGUUUUUACCUGUUUUUACCUGUGUUUACAGCAUUUUGGAGCUGCUGACCAAAUCAUGUUAUCUGCACUGCUUCAUUGUCAUCGUUUUUGCUUAGCUGCUAAGUAUGGUUCAUCAGUUGUACUUUGUCGGGCUAUCAUUUGGUAGUUCCUCCUAUUAGUAGCUGAUGCACAAACUUAGUACUAAUGUACUGCUGAUAAGUAUUACAGCAUCUCUUGGCAGAUCUUGAAGAUAAAGCACUUUAUCCAAAAUCAUAUGAGCAUCAUCUUCUCUGGUUUCAGUCACCAACUACUAAUGAGCUACACACGUUUAUUCUUGUGUGAAGUCUGUGUAAGCAAAGACUGAAAUCAUGAUCAGUCAUGACAGAAGAUUUAUCACAUUGAAAUGUGCAUGCUCAGGUAUCAGAAAGAGGAGAGAACCUUAGGUGGGUGCCAUAGAGGAAGAUAGAACAACUGACCGGCAGCAGCAGCAAGUGCUCAGUUAAAGUGGUCAUUUGAUAAUAGGAGAUUAGGCAUAAGUUUCCCUCAUGACCUCCCAUCUCAAUAACGAUAUAUUUUGAGCCAGGUUUUUUUAUGGCUGUAAGUGAAAGCUUUUUGCCUUUUAUCUUAAGCUGGUGAAAAUUCAGGAUGACUUAUUAGAUCAAUGGACAGCACUCGUUUAUGAAACAGGGCAAGUAUAACAGCACUGCCAAGCAGUAAACAGCAUUUAUUUGCAAUUGAAAUGUGCCAUAUAAAGUGUGUACUACUUCAUAUACCUUAAGGUACGAGGAGAGGUCACUUUAAGCAGCCAGUAAUUAACAGCACAUGAAAACAUAAGAAUCCAGACAACUUUUCAGACUACAUUAGAUGCUUAAAUCUCUAUUAUUUUCAGUGAGAGUUAAGCACAUAAUUUAGAAAAAAUCUGUGUUUACUUGUAUUAAAAAAAAAUGAGACUGAAACUUUAAGUUUAAAGAAAAAUUUCCUCAUAGUUCAUAUCUUUCAGUUAGCAAAAAGUUACACAUGCAUUUGUGUGUUGCACAGAUGACCAUCCACACAGUCUAUAUAAGGUGUGUUCAGGAAUAUACAUAUAAAAUGUAUGUAUAUAUGAAAAUAUGCUAUUAUUUUAUAUUAGUACAUGGCUGAGCAUUUAUGCUACUGCUAUGCAAAAUGAGGUAGGCCAGCUACUAACAAAUGUUAAAAGAUAAAAGUCACAUUUUCAUCAUACUUUGUGUCUGUAUGCAUUAUAUAUAUCCACUGUCCCUUUUUUAGACUUCAGUGACUCAUCUUGUUUUGAAGUUGCUCAUUCAUUUACAUAACUGAAAGUUGUGCUGAUACCCCUUAGAAACGUAAGUUCCUUACGUGAAGAACAUUUCAAAUGUUUUUAGCAUAAAUAAUGUGGUCAUUACUCCUAAAUGACACACACUGCUUAUUAAUAAGGCUAAAAAUAGCUUUUUUAAUACCCAAAAUGCAAUUAUGGAAACAAUGCAGAAAUAAGCACAACAUGACCAUUUAUGCAAUUUAAUAGAGUGAUUCAGUGAACUGCUAGAAUCAUAUGGCUGUAAGACAGCAUCAUGCUUUGCAGCCACAUCUGUUGUCAAUAAUCUAACUUCCACUGAAAUGCAUGACAAGACACCCUCUUGGUUCCACCAGAAAUCUGCACUGAUUUCUGUUGAUUUCACUAGGAAAUGGAUCUUUAUCAAUAUGCUGAUUGAAAUUCAAGACUGCAACCCUCAUAGGUUACCUGGUGUUUCUUCAGAAGUUUGAUAAUGGCCUGUGUCUUCCAGUUGGUCAUAAUUAUAAAACAAGAGAUUAAAUUCUGUUUACAUCACACAUUUCUGCAAAAGAAAAUGAAAUGCAAGAAGUUGAUCUUGUAAUUUGAAAUAGUUUGUUGGUAUAAUCCCUCUGCUGUUGCAUGUAAAGACAUGGAGGUUUUCAAGAAAAUGAUGUGUGACACUAAGAGACAUGGUUAGAGGACAUGGUGGGGAUGGACUGAUGGUUGGAUUGUAUGAUCUUAGUGGUCUUUUCCAACCUUAAUGAUUCUGCGAUUCUGUGACAAAUUCCUUUAUGAAGUAGGCCUCAGUGAGGCAAUCUGGCUUCCCUCAAAUCACACUUAUAUUUAAAAUAUAAAUCUGAAAUAUUUCUGAUAUAAAAGAAGUUAGGAAGUAUUCCCUAUGGAAAUGUGCAUCCACAGACAUGUUUUUGUCAGUUACAAAAUAUACAUUAACUGUUGGAAUCCGCACUUACUUUUUCUAACGCAUCUUAUUUAUGGAGAGAAGAAAAAGUUCUGACAGAAAACACUGAUUUUAAAAACUAGAGUAGGGUGGGAGACAGUCUGCAGCAGCAGCUGCUGGGUGAGAACACUUCUCCCGACCUUUUAAGACACAGCAAACAAUAAACACAUUAAGAAAUCUCAGGGGAAGAUGGGUGUGGUUUAGGAACUUAAUCAGUUGAAUAUGGACUCACGUUUCCUCCGUGGAACAUGGCCAAAGCUUUACUUCUUGAGAUGUUUCUUGACCUUGAAUGUAACUUCACUGAGACACGCAACUGAAAGACCAUCAGUUUUCAGGUAAGGACACGUGUAUAUCUUGUUCUUAAUGGCAACUGUACAUGCUAUAGGGAUCCUAAAAUGGUAACAGGUAUAAUAAGCUGCUGUUUAAACAUGAAGGAAUAGAUCUGUGAGUCACUUCUUAACUUGCUGCACUUAAGAUAAAAAGUUCAAAAUCUCACUUUGGUUAACAAACAACAUUACAGGAAAAUUUUGCACUUGAAAGAUAGGGUUGGAUUCUACACUUUUUCAUGUGGAACUACCUCAUCAUAAUUUUGUAAUAUUUGAAAAUUGGAAACAAAUUGGGCAGCAAAUUGUCCUGAUCAUGUUUAAAUGUCAUAUUUAUGUGUUACUGGAGAAUUGAGAAGUUAGGAGAAACUGCACACACAGUUGUCUUAGAUUUGCUUCUUCCUAUAUAUAACGCUCUCUGCAGUGUAAACUCAAUCAAAUAUGCUUUUUUUUUUUUUUCAUUAAGAAUAUGUAUUUCAAUUUUAAAAAGUACUUCAGAGGGAGCGGAAGUUUUGAUGUUCUAGCACUGUAACUUUAACCUCUUACAUUAGGAUAGCAUCAUCCUGGACAAAAAUAUUGUCAGUAAUACAGGACAACUGUGGUAUCUGAAUAGUUUUUCACAUUUAGCUUCCUAUUUUUAGUUCAUGAUCGGAAAAGACCUAAUUCUGGAAGCAAAGAAGAAAAACAUGCAAUAGUAGAGGUCAGUAAGUACCCAUAAAAAGAAAGAAACAUAAAUUUAGUGAUGAAGCAGUGGAGGAAAGUUGCAAGAAUACAUGCAGUGGUAAAUUCUGAAAGGAGAAAGGAAGUAUACAUACUAAUGAAGACAGAGCCAGCAGGAAAGCAUCCCAAUUUCAGCCACACUACAGCAGUAAAACUACAGAUGGACUUUCUUAUCAAGGCUGCUGGAAAAAGACACAAUUUUUCUCUCUGAUUUUUUGUUGGGUGAGGAUGUCUUAAGUCUGUCCAUUAACUUCAUGUACUCCUUCCAGCUCCCUUCAACGAGAUGUCAGAAUCUACAGAGAUUCCACAAUUCUGAGAAAUAAUUCUAGUUCCAUGUGAGUUAUACAGGGUGGUAUCAUCUGAAAAAAUGCACUGACUAUAACAUCUGCAAUGGUGGAGCAUCAGUUACAGAAGUGAUUCACUCAGAUUUUCCCACCCUCAGCCAAUCCUUCAUGUCAUCUUAUUCCACCUGCUGUCUAAGCCGGAAGUGCUGCUGCUGUGCACAGGCAAGGCUAGCAAAAGUAGGAAUUUUAAACAGAUCUUAGAGAUUAUUCACAAAAAACAGAGUAUUAAAAUGUGUAACAGACAGUGCCAGAAAGCUAAAUUAUUCUAAGUUACAUAUAUAAAUUAAUGCAACAGGAUACCAGUGUUUAACCUGGUUGAACUCAGACCAUUUGAUGUAUAUCCCACUUGUAUUGAAUGGUUAGCAAGUAGAAAAUGGGCCAAGAAUUAUUCCCAUUUCAAACUUACAUCCACUUAAAAUAGACAAUUCAGUGGGAAAAUAUUCAUCAUAUUUGCCAGGAAUUACUUACAAUAGUUACAAUUACUUAAAGUUGUUAAUUAAACCAUUUUGAAGGGUAGAUACAGAAAAAAUUUACAGAGAAGAGAUAUAAUUAUGGAAAAACAGAGACCAUAUUGCUGAGUUUCAUUCAAACAAGAUUUUUUUUUUUUUACUCACAGCCAUGCUGCCUUUCAUAUUAAGAACAAUAUGAAUUUUGUAUGCUGUUGUUGUCAGGAGGGAAAGAAGAAUUUCCUUCUGGUACCUCUUGCUGGCAUGCUUUCCCAGGACAAACCAACCUUGCCGCCAUUUUGCUUAGCAGAACCACUGUGGAGCCCUUAAUCCAGGAUCACUUUGGUCUCUAGACACUCUCUUCCUCCUUUUUUUCCAAAAGGGAGUUAGUAGAGAAAACCGAACCCGAGCUCUUUUACUCAGGGAUUAUGCAGGACUUGUUACCAUAAAGGUAAUUUUUACCUCUGACUAUUGUAAAGGAGGGGCUUAUAAGACAUUUUGGGUUACAGGUGUACAGCUUGAAAACUCUGUAACCCUUUUGUCUUGAAAAUGAAGGAAUCUGAGUGCAGUUCCAAAUACAAAAGUGGAAGAUCAUGGGCCAUACUUUACAUUUAAAUGUAAAUGACAGUAGGUCUGCAUUUGUCCUAAAUAAUGCCCACUGGAAUGUAGCUCAUGGUCAUUUCAACACAUUUGCAUGUAAAAUUACAUGCCCUUUCAAUCAUUACUUAGGUCUGCCAUCUUUGACACAAAGUAAUACAGACAUUGUCUUGAAAAUAUUUUCUGUAGUUAAAAAUAUUUGUCCCAGCAUUUUCCCUUUGCUUCAGUUUCCUUGAUUGCUGUAGCGGAGACCUCAGCUCAGCAACUUGCCCCUUGUUAUCUCAGAAUUAAAUUUUAUCUCUAGUUUCAUGUCUCUCUCAAACUACAGGGAGAUUUUUUUUAUCAUUCUCAGACUUUUCAUGUCUGUACUAAACCUCAAAGAGAUAAUUUUAUAAGAAUAAUUUUACUCUGACAUUAUGGAUCUGUUUCUCAUUUCAGUGCAAAGCUUUGGGAAUAGAGUUUGGAUGCCCACAUUCUAAGCAUAUAUCAGUAAAUAAUUGCAAGUGAACAUUUCAUUAAAUCGUAGAAUAUCCUGAGAUGGAAGAGACCCACAGGGAUUACUGAGUCCUAAUCCUGGCUCCACACAGGACCACCCAAAAUGAAACAAAAGGGAUGUAAUUUUGUUAAAAGAAAAUACAUCACAGAAAGUAUCUUCAGAAGUACAUUAGUGAUGUUUACUUGGUAUCGGUUUGAUGUAAUGAAUUUAUUAUAAAUUCACACCUGAUAUGUUAAGACAGAUCAAUAAAGCAGAGAUAAGUUUUAUGUUUUCAAGAGGGGAGAACACAGAGCCAUUAUGGGGAAAUAUGUUUUGCAAGCUGGAAAGGCAGAAUAGAUUCACCAAACUGACAGGAGGAGCAGAAGAAUUCUCCCCACCUGUUUUCCUCUCUGUUCCUCUCCUCUGGCAUGCUACAGAAUAUAUUUUGAACAAAUGGGCUUCAAAAACCUCCCGCUGCUUUUCGAAUGGGUAUAUAUUGCUGUAAAAUUCAGGUCAUGUUUGUUCAGGAUUUGUAUAAAAGUAAAAAUAAUACACAUUCAAUUUUUUGGUGUGACUGCAAUCCCGGGGAGAUAACUUCAAUUUCUUGGUGUCUUUGGCCCUCCCACGCUGCUGGUGUAUUCUCAGGGACCAGCCAAAGAAAGACAAACCAUCAGCUUAGAUCCAGAGACAAAAAUAAUAGUGGUUCAACGUCACACAGUCACUUAUCCCCAUGAAAAUUAAUUUCACAGCUCUUGUGAGAUGUCUGUGAAGUCUCACAACUACAGCCUAAUUGUAGCCUUAAAAGCACAUGAUAUGAAUUACAUUUCUUCCUAAUAUAUUGCUGCAUCUCUUUCUUUCAUCAGUUUCUGGAAUGCAAAAGUAAAUUCCCUUUCUAUCUGCUGAAUGCACACUGGUUUGACAUUUCAAAGAUUCCACAGUUUUUUUUGUUUGUUUGUUUUUUAAUAUCUCAUUAUACGUAUCACAUAUAGGAAAUCUUUGAUUUAUACUUUCUUUGUCGGUCAAUAUUUUCUGAAUGCUUGAUAUGAGUGGGGAACUAGUGACUUCCAACAUUACUCAUUUACAGAAAUCAUUCAGAAUUCAAAUUCAGUGACUGAACUCCUCAGAAUAAUCUCUGCUCCCUUUUCACUCCCCAGGGAAAAAUAAAUAAAUAAUACAAGCUCAAAACAAAACAGCAACAAAAAAUCCGCCUUGUUGCUUCGCUCUUUCCCAGUUCUGGUUCAUACACUAAGCUUGGAUUUUUCACUGCAAGCAGACUUCCGUAGUGUUUUGUUCAAUUCUCAGAGGCCCUGAUCUUCAGCAUUUUGAGGAUUAACACCUGUACCUGUGUUUUUUCCCUGUUCCAAGGGAUGGAACAUCUCCUCUGCAAGGACAGGCUGAGAGACCUGCGGCUGUACAGCCUGAGGAAGAGAAGGCUCCAGGGAGACCUGAGAGUGGCCCUUCAGUUUUUAAAGGGAAGUGUGUAUGAAGCAAAGGUGUAGCAAUGAAUUCCUCCAUGCAUCCACUGACGUGCUUGCUGAACAUUUUUGGAGACCAGACAGUGGAUGUGAGCACAGUGAAGUGGUGGAUGCUGCAUUUUAGCUGUGGUGACAGCAGCAGUGUGUCAUCUCUGUUGGUGCAGAUUGUUAUGAGUAUGGCAUGCAGGCUCUUGUUCAUUGCUGGUGAACAUGCUCAGCUGAUGGUGGCGACUGCUGAAAAACAGUGUUUUGUUCUGAGAGUUUGCUCUAUCAAACAGCGUUAUUGUGCUCUUUGUAUCUAUUGUAUUUUCCAUAGAAAUAAGUAGGAGGCAUUGCUUUUGGAGCAACCUACAUACUUUUAAACAAAAAAGUACUACAGAGCUUCACUAAUAAACACGUCAUUGCAUAAAA